CGCAGCUGUGUGCCGAGCGCUCCCCCUCGGUACGCGGCAAGGACGUGCAGGGGGGAAGAGCGUGUUUCCGAAAAGGUCAUCGGUCUCCCAGCUGUCUUCAAAAGUAGCGUGUAGUUGAAAAGAAAUAUUACCCCGCUUUAUUAAAUCAUCUCUCUCCGGGGGCGUGAUCCAAAGCCUCUUGAAGUCCACAGGAGUCUUUGAAUAGUUGCACUUGCCAUACUUCAACACGUGCUCGAGCCGUGAAGCCUGUCACGCAGGACAGAACCUUCAGCCGUUGAUAUCCAGCCGCCCCCUGCGUCCUUUUCCUCACGAGCUCAGAACAAGGACUGUAACAUCAUAGCCUGAGAUGUCUGGAAGAAAGGAUGGCUGAUGUUGCACGCUCAGAAGAUUAACAGGUUUGGGCACGAUCUGCCAAUACUUAGUGAGGGCUGCAAAAAUCAUUUCCUGCUGCCUGAAGCAGCCUGUGCUUCUGGUGAGGUGAGAGCACAGUUCAGAGUCAUCUGUUACACGAAUGAGAAGAUGCACACACUUCAGGAGGAAUGCAGAUGAAGAGGGUUUUCCUUCCACUCCAGUAACUCACAGCAGCUUCUCUCGCCCUGCCAGGUGCCCAAGAGGCUGGGAGAGCACAGCCAGGACAGCUGACCCAGACUGGCCAAAGGGAUGUUCCCUACCAUAUAACAUCAUGCUUCAUAUAGAAGUGGGGAAGCCAGCCGGGAGGUGGGAUCGCUGCUUGGAAACAGACUGGACAUUGUUUUUUUUUU
Grus americana (Whooping crane) is the source of this 761-nucleotide long non-coding RNA. RefSeq lists it as uncharacterized. The record is from RefSeq and is a predicted model, not a curated record. The transcript is spliced from 4 exons. Lineage: Eukaryota; Metazoa; Chordata; Aves; Gruiformes; Gruidae.